CAGUCGCCACGGUAAUACGGAGGGUGCAAGCGUUAAUCGGAAUUACUGGGCGUAAAGCGCACGCAGGCGGUUUGUUAAGUCAGAUGUGAAAUCCCCGGGCUCAACCUGGGAACUGCAUUUGAAACUGGCAAGCUAGAGUCUCGUAGAGGGGGGUAGAAUUCCAGGUGUAGCGGUGAAAUGCGUAGAGAUCUGGAGGAAUACCGGUGGCGAAGGCGGCCCCCUGGACGAAGACUGACGCUCAGGUGCGAAAGCGUGGGGAGCAAACAGGAUUAGAUACCCCUGUAGUCCCUGUCUCUUAUAC
RNAcentral lists this ribosomal RNA (301 nucleotides) under uncultured bacterium. RNAcentral describes it as "partial 16S ribosomal RNA". It matches the Rfam family "Bacterial small subunit ribosomal RNA", at positions 509 to 807 of the family's 1533-position model. The record is from RNAcentral.